Molecule: ribosomal RNA, 465 nt
Filed under: uncultured bacterium
Lineage: Bacteria
Description: partial 16S ribosomal RNA
Rfam family: Bacterial small subunit ribosomal RNA
Source: RNAcentral
GACGAACGCUGGCGGCGUGCUUAACACAUGCAAGUCGAACGGAAAGGCCCCUUCGGGGGUACUCGAGUGGCGAACAGGUGAGUAACACGUGAGUAACCUGCCCUUGACUUCGGGAUAACUUCAGGAAACUGGGGCUAAUACCGGAUAGGAAUCCUUGCUGCAUGGUGGGGGUUGGAAAGCUUCGGCGGUUUUGGAUGGACUCGCGGCUUAUCAGCUUGUUGGUGGGGUAGUGGCUUACCAAGGCUUUGACGGGUAGCCGGCCUGAGAGGGCGACCGGCCACAUUGGGACUGAGAUACGGCCCAGACGCCUACGGGAGGCAGCAGUGGGGAAUAUUGCACAAUGGGCGGAAGCCUGAUGCAGCAACGCCGCGUGCGGGAUGACGGCCUUCGGGUUGUAAACCGCUUUCAGCAGGGGCGAAGCUUGUGGUGACGGUACCUGCAGAAGAAGCACCGGCUAACUACGUG